This 448-nucleotide ribosomal RNA is filed under the name uncultured bacterium. RNAcentral describes it as "bacterial SSU rRNA". It matches the Rfam family "Bacterial small subunit ribosomal RNA", at positions 32 to 507 of the family's 1533-position model. The record is from RNAcentral.
GACAACGCUGGCGGCGUGCCUAAUGCAUGCAAGUCGAACGAACCCGCAAGGGUUAGUGGCAAACGGGUGAGUAACACGUGGGUUACCUGCCGAGGAGUGGGGAAUAACUCCCCGAAAGGGGAGCUAAUACCGCAUGAUAUCCCGAAGUCUUUCUUCGGAAUCAAAGCCUUACGGCGCUCUUCGAGGGGCCUGCGGUCGAUUAGCUUGUUGGUGGGGUAAUGGCCUACCAAGGCGAUGAUCGAUAGCCGGUCUGAGAGGACGGUCGGCCACACUGGGACUGCGACACGGCCCAGACUCCUACGGGAGGCAGCAGCAAGGAAUAUUGCGCAAUGGGCGAAAGCCUGACGCAGCGACGCCGCGUGGGUGAUGAAGGCCUUCGGGUCGUAAAACCCUUUUGCUGGGGAAGAUACGGACGGUACCCAGCGAAUAAGCCCCGGCUAACUACGUG